AUAAGCGGAGGAAAAGAAACCAACAGGGAUUGCCCUAGUAACGGCGAGUGAAGCGGCAUCAGCUCAAAUUUGAAAUCUGGCUCUUUUAGAGUCCGAGUUGUAAUUUGCAGAGGGCGCUUUGGCAUAGGCAGCGAUUCAAGUUCCUUGGAACAGGACGUCACAGAGGGUGAGAAUCCCGUACGUGGUCGCCAGCUCUUGCCGUGUAAAGCCCCUUCGACGAGUCGAGUUGUUUGGGAAUGCAGCUCUAAAUGGGAGGUAAAUUUCUUCUAAAGCUAAAUAUUGGCCAGAGACCGAUAGCGCACAAGUAGAGUGAUCGAAAGAUGAAAAGUACUUUGGAAAGAGAGUCAAAAAGCACGUGAAAUUGUUGAAAGGGAAGCGCUUGCAGCCAGACUUGCCUGUAGUUGCUCAUCCGGGCUCUUGCCCGGUGCACUCUUCUAUAGGCAGGCCAGCAUCAGUUUGGGCGGUUGGAUAAAGGUCUCUGUCAUGUACCUCUCUUCGGGGAGGCCUUAUAGGGGAGGCGACAUACAACCAGCCUGGACUGAGGUCCGCGCAUUCGUGCUAGGAUGCUGGCGUAAUGGCUGUAAGCGGCCCGUCUUGAAACACGGACCAAGGAGUCUAACAUCUAUGCGAGUGUUUGGGUGUCAAGCCCGAGCGCGUAAUGAAAGUGAACGGAGGUAGGAACCCUUUUGGGUGCACUAUCGACCGAUCCUGAUGUCUUCGGAAGGAUUUGAGUAAGAGCAUGGCUGUUGGGACCCGAAAGAUGGUGAACUAUGCUUGAAUAGGGUGAAGCCAGAGGAAACUCUGGUGGAGGCUCGCAGCGGUUCUGACGUGCAAAUCGAUCGUCAAAUUUGGGCAUAGGGGCGAAAGACUAAUCGAACAUCUAGU
Molecule: ribosomal RNA, 885 nt
Filed under: Comoclathris italica
Lineage: Eukaryota; Fungi; Ascomycota; Dothideomycetes; Pleosporales; Pleosporaceae
Description: eukaryotic LSU rRNA
Rfam family: Eukaryotic large subunit ribosomal RNA
Source: RNAcentral